Pelobates cultripes (western spadefoot toad) is the source of this 260-nucleotide non-coding RNA. The record is from the annotation of a GenBank genome assembly. Lineage: Eukaryota; Metazoa; Chordata; Amphibia; Anura; Pelobatidae.
CUUACCAGUGAUUUAUAAAGAGGCAAAAUGAUAUUCUCGUCCCGAGAAUGAAUGCCCUUUUUCAUGCAUGACAAUACCUUACUGGCCUUGGCCACUGCUGAUUGACAUUGCACAUUGUUGCAUAGUUUGUUGUCUAUAACAAUUCCCAAGUCCUUUUCAUGUGUUGUUAUCUCUAAUUCGCUUCCAUUAAGGGUAUAUGUUGCUUGUGUAUUCUUUACGCCGAAGUGCAUAACUUUGCAUUUUUCAACAUUAAAUUUCAU